Pan troglodytes (chimpanzee) is the source of this 149-nucleotide non-coding RNA. It matches the Rfam family "Metazoan signal recognition particle RNA". Rfam says of the family: The signal recognition particle (SRP) is a universally conserved ribonucleoprotein. The record is from Rfam. Lineage: Eukaryota; Metazoa; Chordata; Mammalia; Primates; Hominidae.
GCCAGGUGUAGUGGCGGGCGCCUGUAACUCCAGCUACUUGGGAGGCUGAGGCAGGAGAAUUGCUUGAACCCUGGGGUGCGGAGGUUGCAGUGAGCAGAGAUAGUGCCACUGCACUCCAGCCUGGGUGAAAGAGCGAGACUCUGCCUCAA